UUGCCUUAAACUAAUGAGUAAGGAAAACAAAGCGAACGGUGAGAGCCGGUCGCAGCGCUAAAUCGUAAAACAUUGAAAAUGGCGCAAGAAUUUAUGGAAGGGUAAAUAGGCUGGUGCGAGUGUUGACGCUGCUUACUUUUGCAGAACUCUCUUGUGCGGGCCUCCCCA
RNAcentral lists this small nuclear RNA (168 nucleotides) under Arabidopsis lyrata subsp. lyrata. RNAcentral's name for it is "snRNA U12". It matches the Rfam family "U12 minor spliceosomal RNA". Rfam says of the family: Although the U12 sequence is very divergent from that of U2, the two are functionally analogous. Lineage: Eukaryota; Viridiplantae; Streptophyta; Magnoliopsida; Brassicales; Brassicaceae. The record is from Rfam by way of RNAcentral.